RNAcentral lists this ribosomal RNA (465 nucleotides) under Vreelandella stevensii. RNAcentral's name for it is "partial 16S ribosomal RNA". It matches the Rfam family "Bacterial small subunit ribosomal RNA", at positions 338 to 795 of the family's 1533-position model. Lineage: Bacteria; Pseudomonadati; Pseudomonadota; Gammaproteobacteria; Oceanospirillales; Halomonadaceae. The record is from RNAcentral.
CCUACGGGAGGCAGCAGUGGGGAAUAUUGGACAAUGGGCGAAAGCCUGAUCCAGCCAUGCCGCGUGUGUGAAGAAGGCCUUCGGGUUGUAAAGCACUUUCAGUGGGGAAGAAAGCCUUGGGGCUAAUACCCUCGAGGAAGGACAUCACCCACAGAAGAAGCACCGGCUAACUCCGUGCCAGCAGCCGCGGUAAUACGGAGGGUGCGAGCGUUAAUCGGAAUUACUGGGCGUAAAGCGCGCGUAGGCGGUCUGAUAAGCCGGUUGUGAAAGCCCCGGGCUCAACCUGGGAACGGCAUCCGGAACUGUCAGGCUAGAGUGCAGGAGAGGAAGGUAGAAUUCCCGGUGUAGCGGUGAAAUGCGUAGAGAGCGGGAGGAAUACCAGUGGCGAAGGCGGCCUUCUGGACUGACACUGACGCUGAGGUGCGAAAGCGUGGGUAGCAAACAGGAUUAGAUACCCUGGUAGUC